This 551-nucleotide ribosomal RNA is filed under the name uncultured bacterium. RNAcentral's name for it is "partial 16S ribosomal RNA". It matches the Rfam family "Bacterial small subunit ribosomal RNA", at positions 355 to 895 of the family's 1533-position model. The record is from RNAcentral.
UGGGGAAUUUUGGACAAUGGGCGAAAGCCUGAUCCAGCAAUGCCGCGUGUGUGAAGAAGGCCUUCGGGUUGUAAAGCACUUUUGUCCGGAAAGAAAUCCUUGGCUCUAAUACAGUCGGGGGAUGACGGUACCGGAAGAAUAAGCACCGGCUAACUACGUGCCAGCAGCCGCGGUAAUACGUAGGGUGCAAGCGUUAAUCGGAAUUACUGGGCGUAAAGCGUGCGCAGGCGGUUUGCUAAGACCGAUGUGAAAUCCCCGGGCUCAACCUGGGGAACUGCAUUGGUGACUGGCAGGCUAGAGUAUGGCAGAGGGGGGUAGAAUUCCACGUGUAGCAGUGAAAUGCGUAGAGAUGUGGAGGAAUACCGAUGGCGAAGGCAGCCCCCUGGGCCAAUACUGACGCUCAUGCACGAAAGCGUGGGGGAGCAAACAGGAUUAGAUACCCUGGUAGUCCACGCCCUAAACGAUGUCAACUAGUUGUUGGGGGAUUCAUUUCCUUAGUAACGUAGCUAACGCGUGAAGUUGACCGCCUGGGGGAGUACGGUCGCAAGAUU